CGUGUAGGCGGGAAGGAAAGUCAGAUGUGAAAUCCCCAGGCUCAACCUGGGAACUGCAUUUGAAACUCCCUUUCUUGAGUGCCGGAGAGGAAAGCGGAAUUCCUGGUGUAGAGGUGAAAUUCGUAGAUAUCAGGAGGAACACCAGCGGCGAAGGCGGCUUUCUGGACGGUAACUGACGCUGAGACGCGAAAGCGUGGGGAGCAAACA
This 207-nucleotide ribosomal RNA is filed under the name uncultured bacterium. RNAcentral's name for it is "partial 16S ribosomal RNA". It matches the Rfam family "Bacterial small subunit ribosomal RNA", at positions 568 to 774 of the family's 1533-position model. The record is from RNAcentral.